AGUUUGAUCCUGGCUCAGGAUGAACGUAGGUGGCGUGCGUAACACAUGCAAGUUGGACGACGGUAUCAACCAAUUGGUAACACGGAUUGAUAUACGGAGUAGCGGACGGGUGAGUAAAGCAUGAGAAGCUGUCCUACGGAGGGGGAUAACGUUCGGAAACGGACCCUAAUACCCCAUAGUCCGAGAGGUUAAAGGCAGAGAUGUGCCGUAGGAGGUGCUCGUGUCCUAUCAGCUGGUUGGUGAGGUAAGGGCUCACCAAGGCGACGACGGGUAGCCGGCCUGAGAGGGUGACCGGCCACACUGGAACUGAGAUACGGUCCAGACUCCUACGGGAGGCAGCAGUGGGGAAUAUUGGGCAAUGGGAGGAAUCCUGACCCAGCGACGCCGCGUGAACGAAGACGGCCUUCGGGUUGUAAAGUUCUUUUAUGUGGGAAGAAGGAAGUGACGGUACCACAUGAAUAAGCCCCGGCUAACUACGUGCCAGCAGCCGCGGUAAUACGUAGGGGGCGAGCGUUGUCCGGAAUUACUGGGCGUAAAGGGCACGCAGGCUGUGCUUCAAGUCAGCUGUAAAAGGAUGCGGCUUAACCGUGUUAUGCAGUUGAGACUGAGGUGCUGGAGUACCGGAGAGGCAAGUGGAAUCCCCAGUGUAGCGGUGAAUUGCGUAGAUAUUGGGAAGUACAUCGGUGG
RNAcentral lists this ribosomal RNA (687 nucleotides) under uncultured bacterium. Its description in RNAcentral is "bacterial SSU rRNA". It matches the Rfam family "Bacterial small subunit ribosomal RNA", at positions 10 to 715 of the family's 1533-position model. The record is from RNAcentral.